AACGAACGCUGGCGGCAUGCCUAACACAUGCAAGUCGAACGAGACCUUCGGGUCUAGUGGCGCACGGGUGCGUAACGCGUGGGAACCUGCCCUUAGGUUCGGAAUAACUCCCCGAAAGGGGUGCUAAUACCGGAUAAUGUCUUCGGACCAAAGAUUUAUCGCCUUUGGAUGGGCCCGCGUUGGAUUAGCUAGUUGGUAGGGUAAAAGCCUACCAAGGCGACGAUCCAUAGCUGGUCUGAGAGGAUGAUCAGCCACACUGGGACUGAGACACGGCCCAGACUCCUACGGGAGGCAGCAGUGGGGAAUGUUGGACGAUGGGCGAAAGCCUGAUCCAGCAAUGCCGCGUGAGUGAUGAAGGCCUUAGGGUUGUAAAGCUCUUUUACCCGGGAUGAUAAUGACAGUACCGGGAGAAUAAGCUCCGGCUAACUCCGUG
This 433-nucleotide ribosomal RNA is filed under the name uncultured bacterium. Its description in RNAcentral is "partial 16S ribosomal RNA". It matches the Rfam family "Bacterial small subunit ribosomal RNA", at positions 29 to 507 of the family's 1533-position model. The record is from RNAcentral.